Molecule: long non-coding RNA, 11335 nt
Filed under: Panax ginseng (ginseng)
Lineage: Eukaryota; Viridiplantae; Streptophyta; Magnoliopsida; Apiales; Araliaceae
Description: long non-coding RNA (PGIN_LNC010105)
Source: RNAcentral
GCUGGUGCCGAAAUUGUCAAGGUGAGAAUUGACUUAUUUUCAUUAUAGAACAUACAAAUUGCUUAAUACAGUGAAAUAGAUUUUGUCUAUCCUAUGAUCUGUGCACGUAGUUGAAUUCGUGAAUGAAUUUACCCUUUCAUAAUCUUAAUGUUAUCAAAUUAUCAUGUUCUACUGUUUAAUCAGUUCUCUCAUGGGUAGACAAUCAUGAUUUACCAUUAUUUGCCUUAAAAUUUUCUUACUAAUAGACGAAUUUGAUUAUACAAGGAAGAAAAACAUCAAAAUGGAGACUACGCGUCCACCAAACAAACAGAAGAGAAUUACACAUCCUAGUGUAGGACAAUCCCCCAAUCCCUAUCAAGGUUGCUUUGCCUUAGUAAUUAUGUUGCAUAUUCUUUCUACUUUAUAAAUUUGAUGCUUACAAGAAGAUAAGAAUCUUCUCAUGUGAAAGAUCAUAACAUAAAGAUUUGCAUGAUAGAUGUAUUGAUGUAGGGUAGAUGCUGUUUUUUAAUUUGAUUCAAGUGUAAUAUGUUAGGAUCCAAGGUAGGUCCUAACAAAUUUGCGGACGGGUAGAGAAGAAAUAGAUUUUAGAAACAAAGUUGGAGGAGGGCGAAGGAAUGGGCAAAAUGGGAGAAACUGAGGCGAGGAAGGGGAUAGGGAGCAGAAAAUAUCUCUUAUAUCAAUUUGUCAUUCAAAUCUAUGUGGCACACGAUACAUAUACAGGACACAGAUACGACACAAUAAAUGACACGAUACACAACAUUCUCCGAGAAAAAAGGAUAUAAUGCGUUGGGAGAUAUGUUGAAUUUUAUAUUUUCUUAAAUAGAUAUACAUGUAUUUCUAUAAUAAAUAAAUUUAAUUACCAAUAGAGUAGAAUAAAUAUCAAGAAAAAUAGUGAAAAACCCUAGCAUAUUAUAAUGAACAUAUCUAAUAAGUAACUUGUGUAUUUAUAACUUGGCCAAAUAAAAAAGUAAAACAAAUUAUAAAAAAACAAGUGUUAGGAUGUAUCCCGGCGUGUCCCGAUGUGUCGCCGCGUGUAUACGACAUGUCCGAAGUAAAAAUAAAAUAAAAUUAAACAAAUAAAAAGAUAGUGUCGAGAUGCAUCCCUGCGUGUCCAAGGCGUUGCGUGUCUGGAAUGCCCCCACAGCGACUUGUUGACCUUCGAAAAGUGUCUGUGCUUUAUAUUUCAAAUCAAGCUUAAAAUGAAACUACAACCACUACUCCUAUAUACUGCUAGAUUGAACCUAAUGAAAUGGGCUACUAUACAACAUUAGCUAUUUUAAGGACAAAGCAAACUUGGAUACUAAGAAAAAAAGGGUACUAUCCACUCUUCUUAAAUAACGAACGAGUCCCCAGCCUCAAUUUAAUUUCUAAAUGGCCCUUUGCCUUAUAUUUGUUUUCCCUUUUGAACAUCAUGAAGGAAAAAUAGUUAGCCAAACUAGGUUUUAAAAUUUUAUCCCAAGAUCGUCGUUGUGGUUUUAUCAUGAACGAGUCAAUAUAUGAUAUAUUAUAUAUAUAUAUAUAUAUAUAUAUAUAUAUUGUAAAUGUAGUUCAUAUAACAUUGUGCUCACACAAUGACACAAACAUAAUUGAUUUCUUGCUAUCCUUGAGACCUUCUCUCUUAUUACCUUUUCUGCGAACCUUGGUGCGUGGCCUCCGUAAUUCCUUUUUCACCAAACCCUAGCUAUGAAUUUGCUAAGUUCGAAAGGAAGAAAGGAAGCAAUUAAGUUAUUUCGAAUUUUGUUUCUGAUGGUGUGAUCAAUUCUAUCGCAAAAAACAAAAAUCCUAUUGAUAUAUGUGUGUGUGUGUAUAUGUGUGUGUAUAUAUAUAUAUUUCAGUAAAUUAUAUCCUCUAUGUAUCUGGUCCAAUUUAGGUUAGAAGAGGGAUCUUAAGGGUCUCCUAUUCAAGCUCCAACAGAACUCUAGGUAAAAAUGUUAUCUCAUAACUCUCAUCGAAAAUUCUACUAUUACAAUUAAUACCACUAAAUAAUUGUAAUGGGACUCCAGUUCAGGAAAUACACAAUUAAGCUCUUACCUUACUAAUUAGCUACGAAGUUCCCUCUAUUUGGAUAUAUAUAUAUAUAUAUAUAUAUAUACAUAUAAUCAUGUUUAAUUACUGUAUUUUGGAAAUGUUUAUAAUUUACUACAUAAGUACAUAAUUCAUUCAUGCUGAUCUAUAAUUAAUUUGACAAUUAAAUCUAUUCUUUUAGUAAUAAUAUUACUAAGGGGGUGUAUUCAAUUAAGAUUUUUAAAGACUUUUUAAGUGACAAACUUUUGUAGAAUUUGUGAAUUUUAAUGACUUUUAAAGACUUUAAAGACUUUUUUAAAAUGACUUUUAUAGACUCCAUGAAAUAAGUAACAGAUUUUUAUAAACUUUUUAUCAAGAUUGUCAUAGACUUUUGUAUACUUCUAAUAUAUAAAAUUGAAAGAUUAUUAGAUUUAAGAUUAAAAUUUUGCUACACAGAUAAAUUAUUUAUUUUAUUUUUUAGUGCAUAUAUUAUAAAUAAUAAUCCACUGCUUAUGAUAGCAACUUUCAGAAAACAUAUUAUACAAAAAAUUUAAGUUCUGACAAUAUUAUUUUAUCUAAGCAUUAGAAUACAUAUAUAUUAUAAUAUAUUUAUUACAUGGCUUCUGAUCAUUCAAUUAUUGGCUCCGUGAUUUCAUUUUUUUUCUUCGCAGAAAACGAAAUCCACACUCGUGUAAGCGUGUGAUUCAAUACCAUAUUGAUUGCUUUACUAUAUAUAUAUAAUCGUCCUUUUACCAAAUCAUGCACUAUAAUUAAUAAUAAGAUAAAAGUUUUAAAUAUAUAUACAUACAUAAUCUUCACAAUUGAUCCGAGUGUUUCAUGAUUUUAUCCCACCUUUAUUAAACAAAUUUCUUUCGUCUUUGUAUUGGAAGCUUUCGAACUGCCGCUUUCUCCCUUACCAAUUUACUGUGCCUUUUCUCUCUUUCCUCGAUUGCACGUAUCGCGUGACAGAUUGGGUCUUUAGUUAUUUGUUUACCUAUUAAUAUAUCUUGUUAAUUCUCGUAAUCAUAAUAUGAUUUAAUUUUAUCCACAUAUAAAUUAAAUCCAAUUAGUUUUAAGGAUCAAAUUUUACCAAAUUAAUUUAUCCUUCACAUAUUAAUACUUAUUAGCUCAUAUAAAAUAAAUAACUAGUUUGACCCAAUAAAAGACAAAGUUCAAUUAAAUUAUUUAAAAUAUAAAUAUAAAUAUUAUUUUUUUUAUUUCUUUAUUAUUAUUUUUUUUUGGGUAUUACACCGCGAAUUUGUAUUUACACCGCGAAUUUCUGGGUUCCCUCUUUACCGGCGAUCCGAAUUUACUUUUGUGUUUAAUAUUUGAAAGUCUUUCGAAGUUUUUAGAGAUGAGGUCAGACUUUGGAUAUUGGUUGAUAGUUAUAAUUUUUCUUCUGAAGUCGGUCAAACUCUACCAUUUGAUAGAAAUUUAAAAAAUCUAUGACUUUUUGAAUACCAAAAUACUUUUAUAGACUUUGUAAAAAUUUUAAUUCAAUACCACCUAACUUUUAAAGACAUUAAAAAAGUUGUAAUUGAAUACCAAUAAACUUUUAUAAACUCUUUAAAUGUCUUGAUUGAAUACAACCAAAAUUUUAAAAUCUUUAAAAGUCUUUAAAAAUCUUAAUUGAAUACACCCCCUAAAAGACUUGGCUACGAAUUACUUAAUAAAUAAUCUUACGAAAUAUCUUUUAUAGAUUUCUUGACAAUAAUAUAUGUUCCUAAUAUUCAUAAUAUAUAUUACUUGAUAUCCCUUGGUUAUUAUAAUGUAAAAUAUUUAUCACUUGAUCCUGUUUAAUGCACACCGUUAAUGCACUUUAGUUUGAAGUAUCCACCCAUAUUAUUAGAUGGUUUUGGGUAGAUAAUUAUCAAAUAAAAAUAAUAAAUGGUCCAACCCAUAUCCACACACAUAGUAAGUGGGUUGAUGUGGGCUGCCCAUUUGGCCCUGAUUAUACACUUAUUUUCAAAAGUAAGCUAUUUUAGUAAUUAUUUCUCAGUUAGACUCUCUUUCUAAAAAAAGUCAGUUUCUCACUUUAAAAUAUUUCACUUUCUUACUAUAAAAUGUUCACUUUCUCUUGAUCUCUCACUAAUAUAUUUUUUUUGAAUCAAGUGGGUGGAUGGGUUAUGAUUUUUUGAAUUAAGUGGGUGGAUGGAUGGGUUAUGACUAAACUCUUUUUGCUAUGAUUUCUUCCUCUCUCAUUUGCUUUGUGUAUUCUGCUUUGUGUACUGUUUCUUUCUUCCUCUGGGUUUAGUAUCACUGCUUUUGUGCCUAUAUAGUUGCCAAGUUCAUGAUGGGUUUAUAUAUAGUAAAAUAUCAAUAUUAUGAAAUAUGUGCAUAUAUUUAUGGGCUUUGAUUUGUGUAUUCUUUCUCCUGUUUAAUUUUCUUAACUCAAGUACAUGGUCUUGCAUGCUUGCUGUUAAUUCGUCUUUUAAUGCCCAUAUCCAUCCUUUUAUGACCGCCCAUUUACAACCCAUAUAAGGCUUGCACAUAUAAAACCGAACCCAUUUGCAUCCGCCCAAAUCCGUCCAAAUCUGCCCAAUUUCUAGGUCUAUCCAUGGUUAUAAACCAUGUUCUUUAUUAUAUGUUACUUAUAUUUUAUAUCUUUUAUGUAUACAUAUAUAUCAUAUACAUAUAAUGUAGAGACAAAAUAACAUUACAUUACAAAAUAAUGAAUAAUGCAAUAUUUAUUAAUCAAUAAUAAUGUCAUCAACAAUAUUAAAUAAAUAGGAUUUUAUAGCAAAAUCCAACACAUCAAUGCCCUCAUGGAUGGUUUUAUUGUUGAAGUUUUAUGUUUCUCUGGGUUUAUAUCUUAGAUUCUCUUUAUGUAACAACCCGGGUCAAAACCAAGUCCAGAACAAAUCUUGGGUCAAAUCCCAAGUCCGAAUCGAAUCAAAUCCAUCAAAAUAAGGCCUCAAACUACUGGCCCAAUAGUAUCUUCUUGGGUCAACUUAGCCCACCACAGGCUCACCCAAAAGGUCAUGACUUGAAGGUACUAUUGGUAGUAACUUAUUUCCUUACAUGCAGACAAAUUUUUCUCCUAUCUUUCGAUGUGGGACUGGGGUGUUACAAACUCCCUCGCUUUAAAUUUCUGACGUCCCCGUCAGAACCGAUCACACACACAGGCCCAAAGAUUUUUGCCUCUCUAGCCAUUGUGGGAUAAUACCGGCUGACUUCGUGUCCCCACCUCCGGACCUCCAUCUCUCCAUUGUGGGAUAAUACCACCAGCUUUCGUGUCCCCACCUCUGACAACUCGAUCGGAUGACCCGACCUGAGCUUUCGAGAGUCGGCUCUGAUACCAUAUGUAAUAACCCGGGUCAAAUCCCGAGUCCAGAACAAAUCUUGGGUCAAAUCCCAAGUCCGAAUCGAAUCGAAUCAAAUCCAUUAAAAUAAGGCCUCAAACUACUGGCCCAAUAGUAUCUUCUUGGGUCAACUUAGCCCACCAUAGGCUCACCCAAAAGGUCAUGACUUGAAUGUACUAUUGGUAGUAACAUAUUUCUUUAUAUGCAGACAAAUUUUUUCCCUAUCUUUCGAUGUGGGACUGGGGUGUUACAACCCGUCUCUCCUGCCAAAGAAAAUCAAUAUCAAGUACUCUUGAAUUUCGACUUUUCCGUCAACUUUAUCAUUUCCAUCAACUUUAUCAUAGACCAACUACUUCGUCAUAAAGCAACAAGGAUAUUUGAUUAAGAUUCUCUUUGAUAUAGCUUGGUAUUGCAUGGAAUUCAGCCCCAAAGUCAGUAACAAUUGAAUUUGAUCUCCCCGAAGUGUUGAUUUUAAACACAAUUGCUUCCUUUACUUGCACUUGAGUUGAAGGACUUGAAAUGCUCUUUGGUUACUAAUUUUGCAAUGUACCCAUAAACAUAUUACCAUUAUGAGUAGAUACCCCCAUUAAGAUUGCUGCUAGGUACAAUUCUAUUAGAUACUCAUGCACAAAAUAAAUUCACAAUUGUCCGUAGCAUUUGUCAAAGCUUGAUGGUGAAACAUACUCUUUCAAAUACUCAGAACGGACAAUAUCGCUAAGAUUUCACCGAUAAUUGGAGGACAAGACCAAUUCAUUGUGAGGAAGAGAAUGUUGUAAAAAGCCAUUUAGAUUCAACACAUGUCGACUAUUUUUAGUAUGUUAUGGGUUUUCUUGCAAAAUAAGUUGAGGUAGAAGAGAUUUGGAGAGGAAGAAAUUGAAAUUUUCACUUAGACAUUAUACCGGGCUAUUGGUGUGCAGGAAAAAUAAAUUAAAAUGAGAAUUUUUGGCAGAUUUUUCAAGAUUGAGAUAAGUAUAUGAGAUUUAAGAGGAAGUGUUUGAUGAGAAUGAAACGAGAAUAAAGCUAUGAGAGGGUGAAAAGAACCUUACCAGAAUUAGAGGUUAGAGAAGAUAAUUACGAAAGAAGAGAUCGGAGAAGAAGCAGAGCCUUGGGAAGAAGCAGAGUUAGGAUUUCUGUUCAUUUAAUCUAUCAAUUUAAUUUGUUUUUACUUAUAGUUAAUGAUAUACUACUGACUACACUACAGUGACAUACAUCUCAGAACUUAUUAUGUUCAUGUAAUCUAUCAAUUUAAUUUGUAUAUAGUCAUAAUUUUUUUUAAUUAUUAUAAUUUAUUGACUUAAUGUUCAAAAAAUCCAUUGAACUCUUAUCAAACUAUAAAAAAUCAUACAAAUUAUUUUUUUUGGACCAGAAUCAUUGAACUUUCAAAAACUGUCAAAAAUGCCCAAAAUUUGACUAGUUCAUGUGUACACGCCAGCUCAUAUGAUCAAAUUUUGUGCAUUUUUUAUAAUUGUUUGAUAGUUCAAUAGUUCUGGUUCGAAAAAAAAAGUUGCAUAUUUUUUUAAUAGCUUGACAAAAGUUCAAUGGAUUUUUCAGUGUCUAAUUUAUUUAACUUAGUAUUUAUACUUUGUGUCUUUUGUUGAAAUUGAUUAAUAAUUUUAAUUAGAUUUUUUUCUCUUUUUAUGAACAGGUUAAAAAUGUCAAUUAUCAACCUCUGUUAACGGAAUUAGGCCACGUUUUUUUAUACCACAGGUUGUAAAUCGACAGCUUUUUAAUUACAGGCUGUUAAGUGAAAAAAUUGAAAGCAGAGGUGGUUUUUUUUUUUUUUGCAUUUAACUCUUAUUAUUUUACAAGCGAAACAAGUCUUAAUAUUAAUUCGGUGAUUCAUCCACUAAAAUAAUAAGUCGAAUUCUCAUGCCCUAUCCAUACAACAUGCUAUUGCCAUUUGGGUUGGAAUAGUCACUGAUGGUCAACUGUAGUUUAAAUCUUCUUUAAACAACAUGUUAUUGGGAAUCCUCAGUAGUGUGAAGUUGAGACCCUGUACUGAGUCAAGUCAAAGAAUAAGAAAAUAUAAAUAUGAAAAAAAUAUUUGAACUAAGAAAGUUCAGUAGAGCUCGACAGCUGCUCUAAGAUAGUAGAAACAACAGCAGCAAGGAGAGAGAGCCUGGGGGAAGAGAAUCAGAGAAGUGGAGCCUGGAGAUCAAGGGUGGUUGUAAUGGCAGCAUAAUGUGGUUGUACGUCGAGACAAGUGGAAGCAUCCAUAUGAAGCGUUUAAAAGGCAUAGAAAAGAUGUUUCAUAGUCUCAAGCCUUCAGUUGGAACAUUUCCGCACAUCUUGCCUGAUUCACUAAUUCGUGGGAAGAGACUGAACUCUGGUAAUUGAAAAAUGCUGUAUGAUGGAUGGUCAACUUUGGACCUUGCUAACCUUAUUUUGGUUAAUGGAGUUUUUUCUAUUCUAUUAUUUAUUAGGUAUCUUACAGGUCUGAUUUAUGUAAGUUGUUGGUCAAUUUACAGUUUAGGGGUAUUUUUGUAUUGGCUGGACAUUGGUCUUAGUGGUGGCCUAUGGAUCUUAUCUUAUUAUCUUAUGGAUUGAUAGGCCUUUUAUUUGUAAGGGUUUAGCAAAUCUCUUUGGUUUUGGAUUGCUACAAGACAUAAUUUUCUCAGCAAUCAUGCUUUUGUUUUGGAUUAUGUGAUGCAAUUUCAACCCUAUGGGUGCUAAUAUGCAGCAUAUGCUACAUGGUAGGUUUGAUGCCUAAGGUUUAUUUUUUUCUUCAGCUAAUAACCCUUGAUCCGAUUUAAUAAUCAACCAUUCAACCCUAAAAAUUCGUUAAACACAAUAGCGUGCAUUUUCUCAAACCCUGGCUCACUAAGUUAUAAAAAUACCCUAACUUAGUAUUCUAGGGGCACUUUUCUUAGGCCCACCAUCCCUAGAACUGCCUUGAAACUUCCUUCUUUUACAACUUAAAACAAGCCUAAAGCCCUAGCCCGUCCUUAUAACUUUUACAAGUUAUAAAUCGAGUAUUCUUAUCCACCGUAUAGGUUGUAAAACCCAUAAACACCAAGCUAAUAAACCCUACUUGAAAGUGUCCUACAUACGUGUUUUUAUCAGAGCAGAACUAAUUAUAUGGAGACUCAAAGUGGUCAAUGCUUUUGGGGAAAGCUAUCAGAUAGAUUGUGGACUGAAUUUAAGUAACUGAUAAUGAUAAUGGAAGAUAUUGAUGUAUUGGAAGCCAUCUACUUGAGAUGCAAGUCUCUUUGUUCACAAAAAAAAAGACGCAAGAGACAGUCAUUCUAAAGACAUAAAAGUAGUAUGGGGGUUGUUAACAAUGAUAUUUGUCUGCUAUGAAAGCGGGUGGAGUUAUCCCGACUUUUCUCUCUGUCGAGGCCCCUCUUGUGACCAACUUUCCAAACGUUAAUGGCGGGCAAAGGGUGUUAUAUAGAAGUAAAUUACCGAUACUCCAUCCAUAGUGUUGUCUACGAGUGCAAGUUGAGUUUCAACCUACCCAUUGAGGAAGAUUGUUUCUUUCUACGGCUAUGCAUGCAAUUUCUCUCUUCUCACAAGAGAGGGGAUUCCCUGAUUUGACUAAGAUCUCAUUCCCUUUUUUCUGCGAUCGUGAGUGUGAUGACACAAGCCCAAACCCAAACCCGAACCUCAACUUAAGGGCACUUAGGUUAUCUGGUCCACCACCAGCCCACACAAAAGUCAUGACUAAGAACUGGUACCCUUGGUAGUAGACCUUGUAUACAAUUAAAGUCCAUCCCAAAUGUUCUAAUGUGGGAAUAGGGUAGUCCAUUGAGCCCUUAUACGUAACAUGUGAUUUUGCUGCUCAAUUAGGGAGAAUGUACAUAAGUUUAAUGUUUAGAAGGGAAGGCUGUUGGCAUCAACAGUUAAUCCCCUUUCUUAAUUAGUUCAACGCAGUGUUCUAAAAUUUUUUGUCUUGGUCCCGCCUAGGCGCUAGGCCCCCCUGGCGUCUCGUCUAGACGCUAGGCCCCCUCUGGUGCCUCAUCUAGGCCUAAGGCGGCAAAAAAAUUCUUACAGAAAAUUAGGUGGGGCCUAAGCAGGUUAGGCGGAGAGUUUUUUUUUUUUUAAUUUUAAUAACUACCAAAAUCAUAACUUGAUAUAUUUAUUUUUCUAAUGAUUUACCAUAUUCAUAAUUCAGAUUGUAGUAUAUCAAAUCACAACAAGAAGUGAACAAUAUCAAGUCAAAAUGAAUAAUUUUAUUAUAGUUGUAAUUUUUUGAACUUGUACCAACUUCAAAUUAUAUAAAUGAUGAUACAUUUGUAAUAUUUAGUUUAAUUCAAUAUAAUUCUUAAAUUUAUGUUUAGUUUCUUAAGUUUUAAUUAAAUUCUUGAAAUUUUAAAUUUUAUUAUUUAAUAGCAAUCUUGUUUAUGAAUAAAAUUAAUACGUUAAAAUAUGUUUGAACUUUGAACAAUUGCAUGUUUGUGUUUGAAUUUUGACAUUAGCAAUAUGGAUAUGUGUUUGAACUUUAAGCAAAUGCCUUUGUUAUAGAUUGUUUUGCUUUAUAUAAUUGUUUUGUUUAAAUAAAUGUAAGAUAAAAUAUUAAAAUUGGCUUAAAAUAAAAAAUCCCGCCUAGGCCCCCGGCCGCCCGCCUCCUGCCUAGCGCCUUUUAGAACAUUGGUUCAACGAAAAGCAUAUGCCACAGUAUAGCAUUUAAUUGCAAAAACUUUUGAGCAUUGGCUUAUUCGUAAGUACUCAGGCUAGUUACAGGCUUUUAGAUUGAGUUGAAUUGUGGAGAUUGGUGGGGAACUAUGUAUUUGCUUCUUUGUUGUUAUUAGAAAACAAGUUCUUAAUUCCUGCUAUUUAGAAAAGAAAAAAAAUUGUUCUUAAUUCCUGCUGUUUUUAGCGGUCAUUGGAAUAGGCAACACUUAUACCAGUAGAAGACAAAUGUUUAGUUUAUGACAGUUGUGAACGCCUUAGUGUCACUUUAGACUACUUUUCCUAUUUUAUUCAUUUCUCAAGUGUGUCAUGAUAAUUGAAUUGCAUUUUCUAUUUACUCUGAUACAAGCUUGUGUACUUGUUUACUUACUCAAAUAUUGCUGCAUGCUUAUAUACCUUAUAUUUCUUUGAUCUCAGAUUUCUGUAUACAGUUUAUUCAUCAAUCUUGUCCCAAAAUCAUAUAUGGUGCUUACAGUUAGAAAGCAAAUGUACAAAAUAAUGGACUUUCUGAAAACUUCUAUCAAAUUAUGCGUCAUGCAUGGAUUAUGGGCUUCUUUCUCUUCAAUUUUUUUUUUGCCUGGAAAGAUAGGUAUAUCCUGUUUCAGCAUUAGGUGGCAUUCAUUACAUAGCGGCACUCCAAAUGCCUUUCUCUCAUAUUCCAAUGGUUGCAUCUCAAGGGAUGAGAAUAGGUGAGGCUUCUGUAAUUUCCUUGAAUGCUUGUUAUUUAUUAUACUUUGUUAAGAAUCAAUUUGCACUGUUGUCACUGAUUCUUGAAGUUUGUUUAUUUUUCUUUCAAUUGAAAGAAUUAGAUUUUCCCCUAAUCAGAUGACUCUGUCUCUCUUACUAUUUGUAGAACUGGUAGUGAACACUUUCUCAUCCAAUUAUACACUUUUACAUGUUUCCAUAAUUGAUGCAGAUCCUAGUGGGAUUGAUGCAGAUCCCUAGUGGGAUUGAUGCAGCGCACAAAAGGAUUCGUAUCUGUGAUAUGUGGAGCUGAAAGUCUAGGCACAAUGGAUAGACUAGUAGUUUAUUUAUGUUAUUUAGGAAUUUUAGUAAUUUUUUAUCUUAAGAGUUUUCGUGUCAUGUUGCUUAGGUUAAAUAUUUUCUCUUAUACUGGUUGCAUGUAUAAAAACAUUAGAAUGUACUAAAUUUAUUAAGGUUUGAGUAAUAUGAACUGCAUUUACUCCUAAACUAUUGUUUUGAUUCAUUUAUUUUGGAAACCGACAGUAAAACGCUUUCAAUUUAUUGAACUGUAAAUUUCAGUAUACUUUGUAGGUAUCCAUAUUCAAUGGUUUCCUGUCAUUUAAUUAAAACUCAUACAUUAUUUUUGUUGAGUUUGAUUAGCAUUUGCUGUAGUUUAGUCAGAUACAUAUAGAAAUAAUAGCACUUUGUUACAG